Molecule: ribosomal RNA, 206 nt
Filed under: uncultured bacterium
Lineage: Bacteria
Description: partial 16S ribosomal RNA
Rfam family: Bacterial small subunit ribosomal RNA
Source: RNAcentral
GUGUAGGCGGUCGUGCAAGUCGGGUGUGAAAUUCCUCGGCUCAACUGAGGAAGUGCAUCCGAAACUGCUCGACUUGAGUAUGGGAGAGGAAGGCGGAAUUCCCGGUGUAGCGGUGACAUGCGUAGAUAUCGGGAGGAACACCGGUGGCGAAGGCGGCCUUCUGGCCCAAUACUGACGCUGAGACCCGAAAGCGUGGGGAGCAAACA